UUCCAGCUCCAAUAGCGUAUAUUAAAUUUGCUGCAGUUAAAAAGCUCGUAGUUGGAUGUGUGGUGUGGUGCGUCUGGUCGCCUGCGAGCAAUCGUGGGUGUGUACCGGUGUGCGUGCCUGCCAUUCGGGUUUGUUGUACAUCGAAAGGUGUAUGGUAAGCCCCGUUUACUUUGAGUAAAUUAGAGUGUUCCAAGCAGGCGAUGGUGCCGUGAAUACAUGAGCAUGGAAUAAUGAGAUAGGACUCGGGUUC
This 250-nucleotide ribosomal RNA is filed under the name uncultured archaeon. RNAcentral's name for it is "partial 16S ribosomal RNA". It matches the Rfam family "Eukaryotic small subunit ribosomal RNA", at positions 583 to 836 of the family's 1831-position model. The record is from RNAcentral.